This is a long non-coding RNA of Anthonomus grandis grandis, 906 nucleotides long. RefSeq lists it as uncharacterized. NCBI's taxonomy places the organism in Eukaryota, Metazoa, Arthropoda, Insecta, Coleoptera, Curculionidae. The transcript is spliced from 3 exons. The record is from RefSeq and is a predicted model, not a curated record.
CAAGGCUGUUUAUUUUACAUAGCAAGUCAUUUUGUGGAAAACCGCGGUUUUCAUGCGGAUAAUAAGAAGGAAUUUGCUUUAAUUGACAACGAAAGAGCACACCACAAAUGAUGCUGGUUUUCAAGGAUUCCAGGGAUCAAACAAAUAUCUACAAUAAUAUAGAUGAUCUUUCAGUUGAUCUCUCAGACAAGAUAGGUUUAAAGAGCAAGAUAAGAAAAUCAGCCAAUAACGAACAACAAGAAUCAUACCUAAAGAAGUAAAAAAAAUGAACGCACACAAAAAAUAUGUAAUAACUGCUGCGGUGUCAGACCAUGAACCACUUUACUCGCGCGCCAUCUACUCUCUGGUAUGUAUGUAACUUAGUUACAACAGCUUCUGACUUUCACAGUUUUAUGAUAUCCUGCCCUAAACACAAGCAACAUUAAAAGAAAUAAAUGAAUGCAAUUUAGUAUCUAUUUUUAAUUCAACUAGUAUGGCGCAUAACAAUUCAAUAAAGAUAAUUAAUUCAAAAGGCCAAAAUGGGAGAAGAUAUAUUUUUUUAUCAGCGCCUUUUGACUGUAUUUAGCACCGAGGGAAGCCAGGAAAAAGGUCUCGUCCGCCAGGAAUAAAACCCCGAAAUUAUUCAGGAGUUAUUGUGCCCGCUGUUUUGUUAAAGUCGAGAUAAGUCACUCAAUGUCCCUCCUCACUCCCUGGUCUCAUAGCAGAGGGUUAAAAGGGUCAACGGUUUAUUUCUUUUAGCAGUUCAUGCCAGACUGGGGAAGCUUAUUUAAAUAAGAGAUAUGAUCUGAAAAUGUGUUUAUUAUUGCGGAUUUUUGUUUAUGUCGGGGAAUAAAAAAAGGGUUGUUUCGUUUUGUUUGCAAGUGAUUUAUUAAUGCGGUAGAGGUUGAUUAAAUGCCAUUUAAAAUU